ACCUGCCUCCUUCCUGUCCUCUCCCCUGCCUGCCAGCCUGCGAGCGUCCUGGGAGGUUUCACAGGCAGGCAGGCAGGCAAGCAGGCAGGCAGGGGAGAGCACGGGAAGGAGGCAGGC
Molecule: non-coding RNA, 117 nt
Organism: Podarcis lilfordi (Lilford's wall lizard)
Lineage: Eukaryota; Metazoa; Chordata; Lepidosauria; Squamata; Lacertidae
Source: the annotation of a GenBank genome assembly